UACGUUUUAGUAUAUAUGUAUUUAAAAUUUUGAAUUUUAAGGAUUUAGAUUAAUUCUAAAAAAUGUAG
This 68-nucleotide transfer RNA is filed under the name Stenus clavicornis. Its description in RNAcentral is "tRNA-Gln". Lineage: Eukaryota; Metazoa; Arthropoda; Insecta; Coleoptera; Staphylinidae. The record is from RNAcentral.